AACGAACGCUGGCGGUGUGCUUAACACAUGCAAGUCGAACGAGAACGUUUCCUUCGGGGAACUAGUAAAGUGGCGCAAGGGUGAGUAACACGUGAAUAAUCUGCCCUCGAGAUCGGGAUAACUUGGCGAAAGCUAGGCUAAUACCGGAUAAGACCACAUUUCAUAAGAAAUGCGGAAAAAGGAGUCUCAACCUUCACUCGAGGAUGAGUUCGCGGACCAUUAGCUUGUUGGUGAGAUAAAAGCUCACCAAGGCUACGAUGGAUAGCCGGCCUGAGAGGGUGAUCGGCCACACUGGAACUGAGACACGGUCCAGACUCCUACGGGAGGCAGCAGUGGGGAAUAUUGCGCAAUGGGCGAAAGCCUGACGCAGCAACACCGUGUGAGCGAUG
This 389-nucleotide ribosomal RNA is filed under the name uncultured Nitrospina sp. Its description in RNAcentral is "bacterial SSU rRNA". It matches the Rfam family "Bacterial small subunit ribosomal RNA", at positions 29 to 410 of the family's 1533-position model. The record is from RNAcentral. Lineage: Bacteria; Pseudomonadati; Nitrospinota; Nitrospinia; Nitrospinales; Nitrospinaceae.